AACUGGACAGAGUUAGUUUCUAAAAGAAAUGUAUGGAGAUUAAUUAAAGACCUGAUAUCUUUCACUUUGGCAGAUUGGCAUGGAGCAUGUGGAGAAACAGGGAAACACACGUCAGUAAUGACAAGUACAUCGUAAUAAAUGAGAUUGGAAUGGAGCACAUGGAGGAAAAAAGGGAAUCACACACCUCAAUGACUGGGAAUUGCUGGUUAGGAAUUUAUUUUAAAAAAUCUUCAAAGAUGAAGCGAUGGUGGUUGGUAUAGAUAGUUAGACAGGCCUUGUCUGUGUCAGGUUUUUCUUUUUCAGGUAAUGGAGAGAGAGCAGGCAGAAGCGGGAGACUCACAAGAGCAACGAUGGACAUUUAUAUGAAACAGAGCCAUUAGGGCUCUGUUGGUUCUGUCUUUGUCUUUUGCAGGCUGGAGUGGAGCAGAAUAAGGAGACUCACAAGGGAAACGGUGGAGAUAUACUUGAAGACCUAGAGCUCAGUAAACAGGUAGAACUGCUUAAACAGACUAAACAAUGAAGUUAAUUUCUAAAAAAUGCAUUAAGAUUAAUUAAUUAAAGACUUGAUUUUUUUCACUUUGGCAGAUUGGCAUGGAGCAUGUGGAGAAACGGGGAACACACCUCAGUAAUGACAAGUACUGUACAUCAUAAUUAAAAAUGAUAUACUUAAAUAUUUACAAUAUUAGUGAUGGUUUGGUAUUUCCUUCAGAUCUUGUAUUGAACAAGCCAGUAGAGCUCUAUUGAUGUUGUCUGUCUUUUACAGAGUGGAGUGGAGAAACUAGGGAAUCACACACCUCAGAAAUGAUCAGAAACUGAUGGUCAGGUGUCACCUAUCGAUUAAAGAUGUCCUUCCAAUAGGAAGGGGGUGGAGGUGGGCUUGGGUAGUUAGAUAAAUGUUUUGUCUGUGGAAUCACACCUCAGCAAUGACUGGAAAUUGAUGGUCAGGAAUUUAUUUUAAAAAAUCUUCAAAGAUGAAGCGGUGGUGGUUGGUAUAGAUAGUUAGACAGGCCUUGUCUGUGUCAGGUUUUUCUUUUUCAGGUAAUGGAGAGAGAGCAGGCAGAAGCGGGAGACUCACAAGAGCAUCGAUGGACAUUUAUCUGAAACAGAGCCAUUAGGGCUCUGUUGGUUCUGUCUUUGACUUUUGCAGGUUGGAGUGGAGUAGAAUAAGGAGACUCACAAGGGAAACGGUGGAGAUAU
This 1197-nucleotide long non-coding RNA is filed under the name Danio rerio (zebrafish). Its description in RNAcentral is "lncRNA (ENSDARG00000117323.1)". The record is from RNAcentral. Lineage: Eukaryota; Metazoa; Chordata; Actinopteri; Cypriniformes; Danionidae.